Molecule: ribosomal RNA, 786 nt
Filed under: Triticum aestivum (bread wheat)
Lineage: Eukaryota; Viridiplantae; Streptophyta; Magnoliopsida; Poales; Poaceae
Description: partial small subunit ribosomal RNA
Source: RNAcentral
AUGUCACUCACCGCGAGCUCAUUCGCCGUACUCCUCCUCCUCGUCCUCUCCACGUGGCCGACGUGCCACGCCACCCACAACAUCACCGCCAUCCUCGCGGCGCGCCGGGACAUGUCCGAGUUCAGCCGCCUGCUCACGACGACGGGCCUUGCGGACGAAAUCAACGAGCGCAACACCAUCACAGUCCUCGCGGUCGACGACGCCGACAUGGCUCCGCUCAGGGCGCGUCAUCUCCCGCGGGAAGCGCUCCGACACGUGCUCUCCCUGCACAUCCUCGUCGACUACUACGACCACGACAAGCUGCACCGCCUCCCCGGCGGCUCCGCCGACGUGUCCACCCUGUUCCAGGCCUCCGGCGACGCGCCUGGCAGCGCCGGCAUGGUGGAGAUCUCAGAGCGCCGGGGCGGGAGCGUGGCGUUCGUGCCCCAGGACGCCGGCGACGACGCGCGCCCCACCAGCGUGCUCUUCGUCAAGCCCAUCCACGAGGAGCCGUACAACAUCUCGGUGCUGCAGGUGGGCGCCGUCAUGUCGUCCCCGGCCGCCGAGGCGCCCUCGUCGCCGGAGACUUCAACUCCAACCUCAAGGCACAACGCCACCGACGUCGUGCCCAAGACCAAGAAAGGGACCGGGUCAGCCGACGACACCGCCGACGCGCCUUCGGCGGACGACGGGGACGACGAACGAGAGAACCAUGCGAAGAAGAACGGCGCGAUCAGCGCGGCUCCCGGCCGGCUAUCCUUGGCUCUGGCGUUCCUGCUGGCGAUCAAGAUCGUCGUGCGCGUCUGA